This 496-nucleotide ribosomal RNA is filed under the name uncultured bacterium. RNAcentral's name for it is "partial 16S ribosomal RNA". It matches the Rfam family "Bacterial small subunit ribosomal RNA", at positions 29 to 507 of the family's 1533-position model. The record is from RNAcentral.
AUGAACGCUGGCGGCGUGCCUAAUCCAUGCAGGUCGAGCGAACAGACGAGGAGCUUGCUCCUCUGACGUUAGCGGCGGACGGGUGAGUAACACGUGGAUAACCUACCUAUAAGACUGGGAUAACUUCGGGAAACCGGAGCUAAUACCGGAUAAUAUAUUGAACCGCAUGGUUCAAUAGUGAAAGACGGUUUUGCUGUCACUUAUAGAUGGAUCCGCGCCGCAUUAGCUAGUUGGUAAGGUAACGGCUUACCAAGGCAACGAUGCGUAGCCGACCUGAGAGGGUGAUCGGCCACACUGGAACUGAGACACGGUCCAGACUCCUACGGGAGGCAGCAGUAGGGAAUCUUCCGCAAUGGGCGAAAGCCUGACGGAGCAACGCCGCGUGAGUGAUGAAGGUCUUCGGAUCGUAAAACUCUGUUAUUAGGGAAGAACAAAUGUGUAAGUAACUAUGCACGUCUUGACGGUACCUAAUCAGAAAGCCACGGCUAACUACGUG